Long non-coding RNA from Oncorhynchus kisutch (coho salmon), 2011 nucleotides. NCBI's taxonomy places the organism in Eukaryota, Metazoa, Chordata, Actinopteri, Salmoniformes, Salmonidae. The record is from Ensembl.
UUUUAUCAUGUCAAUUUAUAGUCGUGGUAUGGUCAUUUCGCUAAUUCGUGUUUGCGGUCAGUUAAGAUGUUUAACUGAUAAAUUCAUUUGGAAAUUGAACUACAAUUAAAUACGUUUUUCAAUUGCAAACGAAUCGGGGAACGGAGUGGCGCGCGCUCAGUUAUUCCCAAACCCUUUGUGACGCGGUGAAUAAAGAACGUUGUAAACGUUCCUUCCGUACUGCUGACACAGGUCUACAAACACGCUCCCCAAAAGUUCCAACAGGUGUCAUCGGGGAUGGUGAUGAGGACAGACGUGUGAAGGGCGUGCUCAAAGCCUACUGUCCUCCACCGUCCUCAUGGCUGAAGAGAUCAGGAGAAUAGCUGCUCUGCUAGAUCAGCCUCUGAGUGAGAGAGACCACGAACUCAUCACUUACGUCAAGCACAAGUUUGCCACAGACUUCAAAAAAGACCACAGUUACUUCCCUGAGAAGGUUGUUACCCGCAGUGACACACAGUAUGGCCUCAUACAAAAUGGCCAGGCCAGGAAGAACUACUACAGGAGACAGGAGCUGCUCAGUAAAGGCUUUUUCUCCCCUGUCAACAAACCAUACAAAACAGUGGGAAGACUUUACUCUGACAACGUUGAUCUCUUCUCAACCUGGCUCACAUCAGAGGACCAAAAGUCACUGAAGACACAGUGGGACAAGAAGUUUGGAAAAAAUACAGUGAUCUCCAGCAAAUUCACUCAGGAGAAGACUAAAAAGGAGGAGAACAUCAGAGCCCCUCCAGUGGAGAACCUGAAUGGUUUCCUCCAGCUGAAGCAGUACAUGAGAGAGAUGGUCUCCAUCAGACGUGCUCUCCACACUGGGCGCCCCCUCAUAUAUUGCCUCAGAGACCAGGAUAAACCGUUAUUGCUAAUGAAGAAACCUGUGCCUCCCAAAACACCAUGUGACCGAGCCAUAUCAGCUGAUAAAGAGACUGUACCACCACUGUCCAUGUCCAUGAACCAACAGGCACUGGACCCAGAGGAAGAGGAGAACCUACAGAGGAUACAGUACAGGAAGCAGAAGCUGUUCUCAGAGAAACUGCAGUGGAUUUACAUGGUCCUGUGUGGCAUCUCUCACAUGCGAAACAGAGAUCUGAAGACACUGGUUCCUCUCAACAGCAGCUAUGUGAACAUCAUCAUGAAGGACACAGAGAAGACCAACAUCCUGCUGAAGCAGUCGCACAGCUACAACCCUCCGUUGAAUUACACCAGGCAGCUGGUGUCCCUGGCCCCAGAGGACUGUCACAGCAUCAGCCGUGACGUGUGGGACACCUUCAUCAGUCACCAGGACACCACAGAGCCCUCGAAGUUAACCACCACCCGAACCACAGGAUAUAAAGCUCUGCAGUCGGGGCCCAGGCGCAAGGUGCCAGACGGAGAUGGAUACAUGCCCCCAUGGCUGCUACUGCUGCUGGAUGAGAACACGUCCCUAGAGAAGAAAACAGUAAAGCCUGGUGUAGACCAGUCAGGCAUGCUGGAGAGAGCCAAGGAGCAUUACCGGGAUGUGAAGAAGGUUCUGAACAUUCCAAUGGAGUCAGUAGUGUUUGAAAAGAGAAAGAACCGAGAGGAGAGGAUGAGAACUCUUUUCAAUGCUCUAAUGGCCUCAAAGUCCGACGCUGGUCUGUCCUCACUCCUUACCUCUCUGAAGAGUGGGCUGAAGGAGCCCAAAUCCACCACUGGUCUCUGGUUUGCGACACUGCAGAGUGAUGCCACAGAAUUGUCUGGAGACAGAGACUCCCAAUACAACGUCAUACUGCAGAAGAUCUCAGAGUUUCAAAGCUUCUCCAACAAAAAGCUCCCCUACUCCAAGGAGAAGUUCUGUCUCCUGGUCCUCUCCAUGUCACCCAAUCAGCUGCUUCGACCGGCCAUGCAGGAAGCACUGCUCUUCCUCACGGAGAACGUGCUGCUGUUGUUGCCGCGGCAACUCAAACAGUGGUACCAGUACCUGAAGCUCCCCUUCCCCACCACGGCAACCGCCUCCUGA